GGAACAUCUACUGGAUGAUAGACAACCCAUCAUGAGCCACUUUCUUGAAGAAAACUUACUCUUCCAAUCCUAGCAGCCUGCAGCUGCCAAUGCUCCUCUGCCAAUCCAUCUGCUAGAGAUUGAGAUUAUGUCUGUGUGAUGGAACCCAGCAUAAGACCCUCAACAUGGAGAUCUGAGUGGGCUGAAACCUCUAUAUUCUACAUGCCUUGAGCUACAUUCAUGCUCUGAAGAUGUAUUGACUAGGCCAAGUGGAAAAUUACCUCUUUGGUUUAAGACAAUAUUUCUCUGCCAAGCCAAGUUCAUGGAGGACAAUCCAAGAACGAUGCAACGUGGGCAGCUGGCCUGCCUUUGGCUCCUGCUGUUACGUCCUCCAUGCCUGCCGCUUGUCUUCUCCACCAAAACGCAGAGCCUUGCACUGCGCCUGUCAGGCAGCACGCAGCAUUUCUCCUUUAAGUUGCUUUUGUUGAAGCACUUUAUCUGAACAAUGGAGAAGAAACUAAAACAACACUUCAUAAAAGAAAAAAAGAAAUAUUGC
Long non-coding RNA from Alexandromys fortis (reed vole), 535 nucleotides. RefSeq lists it as uncharacterized. The transcript is spliced from 3 exons. The record is from RefSeq and is a predicted model, not a curated record. Lineage: Eukaryota; Metazoa; Chordata; Mammalia; Rodentia; Cricetidae.